AUCUUGAUUGUAGCUACGAUCGAGCAUUGCAGGGUUUUCAUAAUCAGCGAGUAGGGUUCAGCAUCGAUCUUCUAAUCCUAGUCGAUCAAUAUGCGCUGGGAUUGGUGGCUCACCCAUUCCGUCCCUAUGCGAAAUCAAGUUUUGGUCUGGGGAGUAUGUCGCAGGCUGGAGCGUGAAGGAAAUGACGAAGGCACCACCAGAAGUGAGGCUGGGGUAAUUGCUCCACCACCGCCGCACUUCCAGUCAGACGUGUGAGUUACAGAUGUACUUUUUCUUGAUCUAUGGUGUGUGCAUGGCCGUUCUUAGUUGGUGCUGUGCUGUCUGGUUAUUUCCGAUAACGAACGAGGCCCUUAACAUGCUAAUUAGUCGUCCCCCAAUUUAUGGGAUAAUGACUUCAUAGAGGGGACUAUGCAUAAUCAAGUGCAUGGAAGUUUGAAAGAGAGAGCGAGAGAUGAAAUGGCCUUUAUAUGUCCUGGGCUGCACGCGUGCUACACUGAUGCAUACAACAAGUGCCUAGCUAGACAUAGUAUGGCAAUCUGGAAUAUGCAUCGUGAUGGGGAUAGAUCUUUGCAAUUAUAGAUCCUGCCCGAGGAAAUCCUAGUAUGUUCAAGUCAUCAUCUUGCAUUGAUUAUGUUCUUGCCCUUUUACACCCCCCGUCGCUCCUACCGAUCCCGGGUGAUCCGGUGAACCUUUUGGACCUUCAU
Molecule: ribosomal RNA, 704 nt
Filed under: uncultured rumen protozoa
Lineage: Eukaryota
Description: bacterial SSU rRNA
Rfam family: Eukaryotic small subunit ribosomal RNA (bases 149-704)
Source: RNAcentral